RNAcentral lists this ribosomal RNA (666 nucleotides) under uncultured Micromonosporaceae bacterium. RNAcentral's name for it is "bacterial SSU rRNA". It matches the Rfam family "Bacterial small subunit ribosomal RNA", at positions 136 to 816 of the family's 1533-position model. The record is from RNAcentral. Lineage: Bacteria; Bacillati; Actinomycetota; Actinomycetes; Micromonosporales; Micromonosporaceae.
CUUUGGGAUAACCCUCGGAAACGGGGGCUAAUACCGAAUGUUCACUGUCGAUCGCAUGGUUGGUGGUGGAAAGUUUUUCGGCUGGGGAUGGGCUCGCGGCCUAUCAGCUUGUUGGUGGGGUGAUGGCCUACCAAGGCGACGACGGGUAGCCGGCCUGAGAGGGCGACCGGCCACACUGGGACUGAGACACGGCCCAGACUCCUACGGGAGGCAGCAGUGGGGAAUAUUGCACAAUGGGCGGAAGCCUGAUGCAGCGACGCCGCGUGAGGGAUGACGGCCUUCGGGUUGUAAACCUCUUUCAGCCCCGACGAAGCGCAAGUGACGGUAGGGGCAGAAGAAGCGCCGGCCAACUACGUGCCAGCAGCCGCGGUAAGACGUAGGGCGCAAGCGUUGUCCGGAUUUAUUGGGCGUAAAGAGCUCGUAGGCGGCUUGUUGCGUCGACUGUAAAACCCACGGCUCAACUGUGUGGUCUGCAGUCGAUACGGGCAGGCUAGAGUUCGGUAGGGGAGACUGGAAUUCCUGGUGUAGCGGUGAAAUGCGCAGAUAUCAGGAGGAACACCGGUGGCGAAGGCGGGUCUCUGGGCCGAUACUGACGCUGAGGAGCGAAAGCGUGGGGAGCGAACAGGAUUAGAUACCCUGGUAGUCCACGCUGUAAACGUUGGGCGC